RNAcentral lists this long non-coding RNA (357 nucleotides) under Hordeum vulgare. Its description in RNAcentral is "long non-coding RNA (HVUL_LNC009110)". The record is from RNAcentral. Lineage: Eukaryota; Viridiplantae; Streptophyta; Magnoliopsida; Poales; Poaceae.
GGGGGGGUUGGUCAAACGUGGGCAUCGUUGGUGCGGCGAGGGGUGGGAUCUGCUCUAUUUGCCCCGACCGGGGCGCAGGCGAUGACCUCACGCGCUGCACGGCGGGCCCCAGGCGCAGCAGGCACCGACCCCGACAGGGCAUAAGAUCAGCCGUUGCAGGAGUGGCCCCGUCCGUAUCUGCUUCGGUCGCGCGCGAGGACGACGCCCCGGCCGCAUCGUGACCCUGAGCGACAAACGGGUGGGUGCCAACUGUCCCAAAGCGAACAGCCGAACCGUCCUCCACAUCUUUGGUCGUCACUUUACGCGAGGGACCCACGGACAAAGUCGCUUUGGUCGUCACGGCUCGCGUCUGAUGGN